GUAUUGAUUGGUGCUUGCAUCAUGAUUUACAUUUGAGUGAGUGGCGAACUGGUGAGUAACACGUGGGAAACCUGCCCAGAAGCGGGGGAUAACACCUGGAAACAGAUGCUAAUACCGCAUAACAACUUGGACCGCAUGGUCCGAGCUUGAAAGAUGGCUUCGGCUAUCACUUUUGGAUGGUCCCGCGGCGUAUUAGCUAGAUGGUGGGGUAACGGCUCACCAUGGCAAUGAUACGUAGCCGACCUGAGAGGGUAAUCGGCCACAUUGGGACUGAGACACGGCCCAAACUCCUACGGGAGGCAGCAGUAGGGAAUCUUCCACAAUGGACGAAAGUCUGAUGGAGCAACGCCGCGUGAGUGAAGAAGGGUUUCGGCUCGUAAAACUCUGUUGUUAAAGAAGAACAUAUCUGAGAGUAACUGUUCAGGUAUUGACGGUAUUUAACCAGAAAGCCACGGCUAACUACGUGCCAGCAGCCGCGGUAAUACGUAGGUGGCAAGCGUUGUCCGGAUUUAUUGGGCGUAAAGCGAGCGCAGGCGGUUUUUUAAGUCUGAUGUGAAAGCCUUCGGCUCAACCGAAGAAGUGCAUCGGAAACUGGGAAACUUGAGUGCAGAAGAGGACAGUGGAACUCCAUGUGUAGCGGUGAAAUGCGUAGAUAUUAUGGAAGAGCACCAGUGGCGAAAGCGGCUGUCUGGUCUGUAACUGACGCUGAGGCUCGAAAGUAUGGGUAGCAAACAGGAUUAGAUACCCUGGUAGUCCAUACCGUAAAC
RNAcentral lists this ribosomal RNA (767 nucleotides) under Lactiplantibacillus plantarum. RNAcentral describes it as "bacterial SSU rRNA". It matches the Rfam family "Bacterial small subunit ribosomal RNA", at positions 64 to 807 of the family's 1533-position model. The record is from RNAcentral. Lineage: Bacteria; Bacillati; Bacillota; Bacilli; Lactobacillales; Lactobacillaceae.